RNAcentral lists this ribosomal RNA (460 nucleotides) under uncultured bacterium. RNAcentral's name for it is "partial 16S ribosomal RNA". It matches the Rfam family "Bacterial small subunit ribosomal RNA", at positions 338 to 795 of the family's 1533-position model. The record is from RNAcentral.
CCUACGGGAGGCUGCAGUGAGGAAUAUUGGUCAAUGGACGAGAGUCUGAACCAGCCAAGUAGCGUGAAGGAUGACUGCCCUAUGGGUUGUAAACUUCUUUUAUAUGGGAAUAAAAUGUUCCACGUGUGGGAUUUUGUAUGUACCAUAUGAAUAAGGAUCGGCUAACUCCGUGCCAGCAGCCGCGGUAAUACGGAGGAUCCGAGCGUUAUCCGGAUUUAUUGGGUUUAAAGGGAGCGUAGGUGGAUUGUUAAGUCAGUUGUGAAAGUUUGUGGCUCAACCGUAAAAUUGCAGUUGAAACUGGCAGUCUUGAGUACAGUAGAGGUGGGCGGAAUUCGUGGUGUAGCGGUGAAAUGCUUAGAUAUCACGAAGAACUCCGAUUGCGAAGGCAGUUCACUGGACUGCAACUGACACUGAGGCUCGAAAGUGUGGGUAUCAAACAGGAUUAGAUACCCUUGUAGUC